UUCAAUUCAAGUUUUCCAGGCUUCUAUGAAUGGCUUUAAAUGACUCGAAAACAAAUACAAUCACAAUUUAGAUUACCUUUAGUCGCCCAAGCCCCAUCGUGACAGCACUGUAUAGCACAUGAAGAACUGCUAAAAAGAAUAUGAGGAUAUGUAACUGAUGCAGUCCAUCGACAGUUAUGAUUGGCACCUUACCCUUUACCUCCUUGCAACUGGAAGAAUAACCAGCUAGCAUUCGGUGUUCAUACCACAAAAGCCUCCGGCGAUUAUCACCUUCUUCACUGG
Long non-coding RNA from Rhododendron vialii, 282 nucleotides. RefSeq lists it as uncharacterized. The record is from RefSeq and is a predicted model, not a curated record. The transcript is spliced from 3 exons. NCBI's taxonomy places the organism in Eukaryota, Viridiplantae, Streptophyta, Magnoliopsida, Ericales, Ericaceae.